UACUCGAGUGGCGAACGGGUGAGUAACACGUGGGUGAUCUGCCCUGCACUUCGGGAUAAGCCUGGGAAACUGGGUCUAAUACCGGAUAGGAGCCAUUUUUAGUGUGAUGGUUGGAAAGUUUUUUCGGUGUAGGAUGAGCUCGCGGCCUAUCAGCUUGUUGGUGGGGUAAUGGCCUACCAAGGCGGCGACGGGUAGCCGGCCUGAGAGGGUGACCGGCCACAUUGGGACUGAGAUACGGCCCAG
Molecule: ribosomal RNA, 243 nt
Filed under: uncultured Actinomycetales bacterium
Lineage: Bacteria; Bacillati; Actinomycetota; Actinomycetes; Actinomycetales
Description: partial 16S ribosomal RNA
Rfam family: Bacterial small subunit ribosomal RNA
Source: RNAcentral